AUUGAACGCUGGCGGCAGGCCUAACACAUGCAAGUCGAGCGGAUGAAGGGAGCUUGCUCCUGGAUUCAGCGGCGGACGGGUGAGUAAUGCCUAGGAAUCUGCCUGGUAGUGGGGGAUAACGUCCUGAAACGGGCGCUAAUACCGCAUACGUCCUGAGGGAGAAAGUGGGGGAUCUUCGGACCUCACGCUAUCAGAUGAGCCUAGGUCGGAUUAGCUAGUUGGUGGGGUAAAGGCCUACCAAGGCGACGAUCCGUAACUGGUCUGAGAGGAUGAUCAGUCACACUGGAACUGAGACACGGUCCAGACUCCUACGGGAGGCAGCAGUGGGGAAUAGUGGACAAUGGGCGAAAGCCUGAUCCAGCCAUGCCGCGUGUGUGAAGAAGGUCUUCGGAUUGUAAAGCACUUUAAGUUGGGAGGAAGGGCAGUAAGUUAAUACCUUGCUGUUUUGACGUUACCAACAGAAUAGGCACCGGCUAACUUCGUG
RNAcentral lists this ribosomal RNA (484 nucleotides) under uncultured bacterium. Its description in RNAcentral is "partial 16S ribosomal RNA". It matches the Rfam family "Bacterial small subunit ribosomal RNA", at positions 30 to 507 of the family's 1533-position model. The record is from RNAcentral.